AUGUGGGUGGUGCUGCGGCGUUCGGCCGUUCGGCCGAGCCAGAUUCUCCGGAAACCCACUCGCAGAAAGAGGAGGGAAAAAGGAGUGGAUUCCUCGGAACCUAGCAACCGCACCUCCCCCAAAACUCAGCAGCGACCCUCCGCCGUCGCGCGGCGCGCCGGCAAUGGAGGAUGCGGCGGUUCGCCCGUCCAAGCAGGCGAAAGCCGAAGGGGCCGACCUCAUCAGCCUCCUCCCCGACAGUAUUCUCUCCGAGGUCAUCACCCGCCUCCCAUCAAGGACGCCGCGCGCACCACCGCCCUCGCCCGCCGGUGGCGCCCCCUCUGGCGCGCCUCCCCGCUCAACCUCGACGACGCCCGCCUCCCCAGACGGUCCUGGGACUGCAUCUCCAAGAUCCUCGCCGAGCACCGCGGCCCCGGCCGCCGCCUCCGCCUCCGCCACCUCGACGGCCCCAACAGCAUCGCCGAUCUCGCGGAGUGGAUCAGGUCCCCCGCCCUCGACGGCCUCGAGGAGAUCCAUAUCUCUUACCGUUACGACCUCCUGCUGCCGCCGUGCGCCCUCCGCUUCGCGCCGACCCUCCGCGUCGCCAGCUUCGCCCGCUGCCGUUUCCCCGAGCACAUUUCCCCGACCCUCGCAUUCCCGCAUUUGACGCGGCUCGCCCUCACCGAGGUCGAGACCUCCGAGGACGCCCUCCACGCCCUGCUCGCCGCCUGUUCCGCGCUCAGGGUGCUCCAGCUGGAUUGGUGCGGCGGCUUCGACCGAGUGGUCAUCGACUCGCCGACUCUCCAGAGCUUCGGCAUUGUCGCGGACAGCUACGUGGGCGAGCUGGUCAUACAGUAUGCCCCUCGCCUGGAGAGAUUGAUUGCAUUUGAUAAUUUCGACAUCCAUGUCAUCACAGCGCCUAGACUGCAUAUGGUGUGCUUUCUGGAUAGCCACAAGACUACACUCCAUGUUGGAACCAUGGCUUCUCGGGGAAUUUCUGGUGGAAACUUGGCAAUGUCACUGCGCAGUGUGAAGAUUUUCAUUCUUGAUACUGUUGGUCCUGAUCUUGAUGCAGUUCUAAACUUCAUCAAAUACUUUCCUUGCUUGGAGAAGCUCGUCAUCACGUUAUACCUGGAAGUUGAUAUGAAAAAGAAAAAUGUACGCCUUCUCGACCCACAAGAUCGCAUUGAAUGUCUUGACCUCAGUCUCAAAGAAGUAGUGCUGAAGGGUUACGAGGGCAAGCGGUCGGAUCUAAACUUUGCCAAGUUCUUUGUUCUGAAUGCUAAGGUGCUUGAGUCAAUGGAACUCCGGGUUCAGGAUAACACAUUCACCAGGAGAUGGGAAACUAAUCAGUGUAGGCGGCUAAACUGGAUAGCAGGGCUUCUAGAAAUGCUCGGUUUGAGUUUGGAGAAGCUUAUCCGUUUACUACAUUUGCAUGCAGCAAGCAUGCUCAUGUUUUGA
Molecule: ribosomal RNA, 1440 nt
Filed under: Triticum aestivum (bread wheat)
Lineage: Eukaryota; Viridiplantae; Streptophyta; Magnoliopsida; Poales; Poaceae
Description: partial small subunit ribosomal RNA
Source: RNAcentral